UACGUAGGGUCCGAGCGUUGUCCGGAAUUAUUGGGCGUAAAGGGCUCGUAGGCGGUUUGUCACGUCGGGAGUGAAAACUCGGGGCUUAACCCCGAGCCUGCAGUGGAUACGGGCAGACUAGAGGUAGGUAGGGGAGAAUGGAAUUCCCGGUGUAGCGGUGAAAUGCGCAGAUAUCGGGAGGAACACCGGUGGCGAAGGCGGUUCUCUGGGCCUUACCUGACGCUGAGGAGCGAAAGCGUGGGGAGCGAACAGG
Molecule: ribosomal RNA, 253 nt
Filed under: uncultured bacterium
Lineage: Bacteria
Description: partial 16S ribosomal RNA
Rfam family: Bacterial small subunit ribosomal RNA
Source: RNAcentral